RNAcentral lists this long non-coding RNA (567 nucleotides) under Phasianus colchicus (ring-necked pheasant). RNAcentral's name for it is "lncRNA (ENSPCLG00000022314.1)". Lineage: Eukaryota; Metazoa; Chordata; Aves; Galliformes; Phasianidae. The record is from RNAcentral.
CUUAUAUGGUCUUCUGCCUUCUUGCAGUUGCAGAUGGGAAUUCAGAACUUCAUCUGUACUUUCCAGAAGGUCUCAAUCAGAUGGGUUGUACUGAGGAGUGUUCUCAGGAACUAUCCGGGGCUUUGUCAUAGGUAUUUAUGAGAGUAGAGAUUUAAAGGACCUCAAAAAUUUUCAAUUACAUUGUUGUCUAAAUUUUCUCUUAUCCAGGUGUGCACCAAAUACAUUCGCAGAUUUCUAAGGGGUGCAAGUGAAAGGCUUUCAGGGUUCACGUUUGUUGCUGUUCAGCCCGGUGGUGAGUGGAGGCUGUGGAGCCAUGCAGUACAAGAGUGUGGGAUGAGGCCCUCUGGGCAAGUACUGGCAGAUGGACGUUGCCUUCAGGUGGCAUCGUGCACCCAUGUAACCAAAUGUCUGCUGGAGGAGAUGAAUAUUUUGUCAUCUCAGUACUGUAUGAAUGUGAAGCAUGGAGUUGAAUAGGAGCAUCAAGAAAGUGAAAUCUGCUUGAUAGGCAACAGAAUAAUGAUUGGACCUGAAGGGUAAGUAUAAUUUACUUUGGAAAAUGAAGUGGAC